RNAcentral lists this ribosomal RNA (253 nucleotides) under uncultured bacterium. RNAcentral describes it as "partial 16S ribosomal RNA". It matches the Rfam family "Bacterial small subunit ribosomal RNA", at positions 524 to 776 of the family's 1533-position model. The record is from RNAcentral.
GACGGAGGAUGCAAGUGUUAUCCGGAAUCACUGGGCGUAAAGCGUCUGUAGGUUGUCGAACAAGUCAACUGUUAAAUCUUGAGGCUCAACUUCAAAAUCGCAUUCGAAACUACUAGACUAGAGUAUAGUAGAGGUAAAGGGAAUUUCCAGUGGAGCGGUGAAAUGCGUAGAUAUUGGAACGAACACCGAUGGCGAAAGCACUUUACUGGGCUAUUACUAACACUCAGAGACGAAAGCUAGGGUAGCAAAUGGG